AUCGCUUCUCGGCCUUUUGGCUAAGAUCAAGUGUAGAAACUGUUUUUUGUUUAGGUCUUAUUUUCUAAUUGGAAAAUAAAAUGAUCUGAGUUAUGAAGUUAU
Molecule: small nuclear RNA, 102 nt
Filed under: Lynx canadensis (Canada lynx)
Lineage: Eukaryota; Metazoa; Chordata; Mammalia; Carnivora; Felidae
Description: U2 spliceosomal RNA (ENSLCNG00005009705.1)
Rfam family: U2 spliceosomal RNA
About the family: U2 is a small nuclear RNA (snRNA) component of the spliceosome (involved in pre-mRNA splicing). Complementary binding between U2 snRNA (in an area lying towards the 5' end but 3' to hairpin I) and the branchpoint sequence (BPS) of the intron results the bulging out of an unpaired adenosine, on the BPS, which initiates a nucleophilic attack at the intronic 5' splice site, thus starting the first of two transesterification reactions that mediate splicing.
Source: Rfam by way of RNAcentral